GACAGUAAAGGGCAAACUUAUUGAAAAAUAAGGACGCAAAGUCACAGGUCUAAGGUUUAAUUACUAUGAUGGCUGGACUGCCUGA
RNAcentral lists this non-coding RNA (85 nucleotides) under Bacillus sp. (in: firmicutes). Its description in RNAcentral is "Bacillus sp. c-di-GMP sequence". It matches the Rfam family "c-di-GMP-I riboswitch aptamer". Rfam says of the family: GEMM was predicted in a large-scale screen for bacterial structured RNA regulatory elements. Genes associated with GEMM are involved in a diverse array of functions, including chemotaxis regulation, signal transduction, secretion and chitin. RNAcentral also lists the same sequence under 1 other name. Lineage: Bacteria; Bacillati; Bacillota; Bacilli; Caryophanales; Bacillaceae. The record is from RNAcentral.